GGUCAGAUAGUCUAGUGGCAAAGGACGAUUUGGUAGAAUAUUCGGUGGUUUUCUUAUAAACAAUACGAAGAUCAUCGAACACCAAAUAGGCGGGGGUUCAAUUCCCUCUCUGGCCA
Non-coding RNA from Rhodocollybia butyracea, 116 nucleotides. Lineage: Eukaryota; Fungi; Basidiomycota; Agaricomycetes; Agaricales; Omphalotaceae. The record is from the annotation of a GenBank genome assembly.